This 253-nucleotide ribosomal RNA is filed under the name uncultured bacterium. RNAcentral's name for it is "partial 16S ribosomal RNA". It matches the Rfam family "Bacterial small subunit ribosomal RNA", at positions 524 to 776 of the family's 1533-position model. The record is from RNAcentral.
UACGGGGGGGGCAAGCGUUGUUCGGAAUUAUUGGGCGUAAAGGGCGCGUAGGCGGCCGGAUAAGUCUGACGUGAAAUCCCUCGGCCUAACCGGGGAACUGCGUUUGAUACUGUCCAGCUCGAGUCCGGGAGAGGGUAGUGGAAUUCCCAGUGUAGCGGUGAAAUGCGUAGAUAUUGGGAGGAACACCGGUGGCGAAGGCGGCUACCUGGACCGGUACUGACGCUGAGGCGCGAAAGCUAGGGUAGCAAACAGG